This 375-nucleotide long non-coding RNA is filed under the name Carica papaya (papaya). Its description in RNAcentral is "long non-coding RNA (CPAP_LNC011779)". The record is from RNAcentral. Lineage: Eukaryota; Viridiplantae; Streptophyta; Magnoliopsida; Brassicales; Caricaceae.
AAUUAGUUAUGCACAUCUAUUUAAUUUGUACAAAAUACCGCAUUAUUAUUUAUUUAAACUUCAAUUCUAUGAUAGGGAAUAGGGUGAGGGGUUCUUACUCGAUUUGACAUUGAAAAGCUAAACGUUUUACUGCGCCUAUAAGAGGUCUCUAGGUUUCCUGAAUUUUUCUCUAGAAAUUGAAACGCGCUUAUAGUGCCUAAAAAUGUUAUAAAUAAAUCCAAAAUCAGUCACAGGGCCUGCUUGGCCAAUUUUGAAAAUCUGGCACGGUGACUGCGCCGCUGCCUGCGUCGGCGAUCUGCUCAGGUAGGCCAUUUUUGGCCGAAUUCGGUCGAUUUUGCAUCGAUUUCUACGAGCACACACGCUAAUGGACCUCGG